This 8053-nucleotide long non-coding RNA is filed under the name Panax ginseng (ginseng). RNAcentral's name for it is "long non-coding RNA (PGIN_LNC005116)". The record is from RNAcentral. Lineage: Eukaryota; Viridiplantae; Streptophyta; Magnoliopsida; Apiales; Araliaceae.
GCACAUAAAUUUUAUAUAUACUAAAUGAAAAACUAAUUAUUAUAUCAUUUAUACAAAACUAGUAUAGCCAAUAUACACACUAAAAUUAAAAAACUUAUUAUCAAAAGCAAGUGCCAUAUCACCUACAUCAUGUAUCCACAAAUAUUACAUAAGAAAGAAAAUCUCAAGCUAUAAGGUGUCGUAAUUGUUAGCUCCUUAUUAUUUUCGUCUUCAAGAAAGUCAAGGUUGAAACUUUAACUUCAUUAUGCAAGAAAAAUAUCAAAAUCCCUUCCUGCAAGAAAAAGUAUCAAAACCCAAUUUUACAAACAUGAAUAACAAAAGAUUAACCGCAAAACUUAAAUUAAGAAAAAGUUCAACAAAAUGAGAGAAAUCAAAAUAUAACAAUCACCAAAAUUGAAAUGUUCAUUGCUAGAUGAUAGAUAAAGUUAUAUUGAAACAAGAAAAAUUGCACUAUAUUGAGUUAACCAUAUCAUUACCUUUUAAAGGUGUUCUAAAUACGCACAACUUAAAUUGAAUUCUACUUGCAAAUCAAAAAACGCCCCAUGGCUUAAUUACCCUCAGAAUAACAUGGUGAAAAUUGUCACCCAAGAAGCAUAUUUAACAACUUAGAGAAAGGUUCACUAUCAACCCAAGUGAAAACUGCUUAUAUAAUCCCCUUUAAGAGUAGGAACUGCCUUAGGAAUCAUGUCCUCGCUAUAUCCACCGGUCUAAGAAUGAGACCAAAGAGCUAUAUCCACCAGUCUAAGAAUGACACCAAAGAGCUAGUUUCACAAAUCAAAAUAAGACCAUAAAGUUGGACAUCAAUAUAAUAGACAAAGUUAAAGAAAGAUAAACAACCUGAUUUCUUUAUACAAAAAUGUCUAGUUCAGUCUGAAACAACAAUUAGAGAAUGCACCUAUGUCCAAAGGAUGGCAAAUGAUUGUGGUAAUAGUAGCCGACACCAGAGCUGUUACUAGGGAUGCCUCUAUCCUCCUUUGAUACUUCUCUGGCAAAGAUUUUUUAUCCUACAUUGGUCAAAUAAAUCAAAGUUCAAGUUCGAGAGGGCAGGGGUAUUCUUAUUCCAUAAUCAAUUAAAAAAUAAAUUGCUGAUUUCUUAAGCUUACAAGUCAAAAACACAAAAGUUCACAUCAAUGGAAGGAGCUAUGCCAACAAGAGAAGGUCCAAGACCAUUGAAGAAGGAUGCAUUUCCCUCCUGCAAUGUUGGUACUCACCCUGGAAGAUGGAUGUAUAGUACAAUUAGUCAUCUCAAUAAGGAAAACCCUUCUGGAGUGUUUAUGACUACUCCUUGUCUAACUUAGCUUAAAAAGCUUAGACCAGGAGUAACACAUUGGCAUAAUUCUUGGGGAGGCAGAGGCAACGGCAACAUAAAGGUAAACAAAGAUUUUCAAACUUAAGAUUUCUCCACCAGUAUGAACUCAUUCCAUGGUGACAGUAAAAUGAACUUUUAUUACAGAUAGAAUUAGACAAAUAUAAUAAGGACAACUCAUAAUAGAAAGAUCAAAAUAAACAUGGGUAGUAUUGAUAUCCUGGGGUUUGUCAAGUUGAAGUGGUAGGUGAAAGUCCUAUAAAGAUUGGGGAGGGAGGGGAGGACUAACACUGACCCAAAUGAAUACGAAAAGGGAAGAUAAAGCACCCAAACUAACCUGUCUUAAGGAAGGAAUCUACGACCUCAGUGAAUCUUGCCCGAUUCAAUGUAUGCAAUACAACAGAUUUGACCUGGCAAAAAAACAUUAACUUAAUUGGUAAAUUUAAUCAAAUUCUUAACAAAACAGAAUAAAAUUUUAACAAUAUGAAACAUAUGAUAUUUUUUUAAUUAGUAUAAUGUUUUUUAAUACAUCAAACCUCUUGGUAAGAGCUAAAAACAUAUCCACAUGAGAGUAAAGCAAAUGUGGUAACCAAAGAUGGAUUUCUUUUUGCAAUCAAGAUGCUCAACCCAGUUCCAAACUUCACAAUAAAAAAUAAUUUACUGAAAUCAGCUUCAAUAGGAAUAUAUAUUAUGUAUAAACAUUUACAUCAUCCAACACCAACACAUAUUAUAUGUACUGUAUAAACACAACCACUUAUUUAACUUGACCACCACCAAUGUAAAAAAAUUAAACAGCCAAGCAUUUGGGUCAGUGUAUGGGUCAGCCAAGCAUACAGCUAAGGUUUUGUUAUUAAACUUGUUUUCCCUUGAUCAAGCAUUUUAGCUGUAUGGUGUUAUCCCUUUAUUAGUAGCCAGAGAAAAAUGAAGUUCAUGCAAUAACAACACAUCAACAUAUUUUAUAUUUCUCUACUACAUUUAUUCUCGUAUCUUAAUAGAACAAGCACAAAAGAAUCAAUGAUACCAAUCGGCGUAAUAGUAACUCAGAUUACAGCAAGACCAACUCAUUAUCUAACUAUGACCAAGAUAUUUUAGCAGACCAGUCUUACGAGUCAACAAGUUUGAUCCAUUUUAACUUAUCAAGGUUUUUUUUUUAAUUGAUAGCAACAUAAAGUAAAUGGGGCUGUCAGCACAAAUUUCUAGAAUACCAGAUCUCCAAUGUUUUCUCCUCUAGCAAAUGCUUUGUAUAUUGGCGUACGAGUUGAUGUUGUUGUCACUGCAGCGCCAUUCUACAAGAAAAUGGAGCAUAAUGUAAAACUACGGUGCCAAUCCCCACCAACUAGUUAUAUCAAGCUAAAUACCGAUGGUUUUUAAAUCAAAUCAGAUCACAUCCUUAAAUAAAGGAGCAGCCGAUAUGUUAUGGAAUUUAGAGGGUAAUUGGUUGGAUGCUUCUUCGCGGAAUCUUCUAGGGGUUUCUUCUGUGACGGGAGAGUUUUGGGUUAUGCUUGAUGGUCUCACCAUGGCAUGGAACCUUAAUUGUAGAGAUAUUAUUUUAGAAACGGAUGCAUCUUGAGUGGCUAAUUGUCUUUCAGAGUCUUCCUGUGUUAGCAUUCCAUUGUUGCAUUUGAUUGAAAAUUGUAGGAAACUUCUGAAAAGAGACUGGAGGGUGCAAGUUCAUCAUGUGUUCAGGGAAGGGAAAAAAGUUGUUGAUGUUCUUGCAAAGGCAAGUGCUAAUUAGGAGCCUACUUUUGUUAUAUUUUAUUUUCCUCUUUUUUGUUAAGCCUCUUUUGUCAGAUAACAUGCUGAGUAGGGGUACUCCCCAUUGUGUAAACCAAACUGUUAAGGCCUUUUGUUUCUUGCCUAGAUGUUGUUUUGAUGAUGUUUUAAUAUAAUGCAGUUGUCUUUUAAAAAAACAUAUAAAAGGAAAUCUUAUUUCUCUUUAAAUUUAAAUUUAAAACAAAAAUAGCAAACUUUAUCAAGUUCCACGAAAAUGAAAAAGUGAAAGUCACAGUUUUUUUCUAUUUAUCUGAUAGUAAACUUUAUCAAGAAACAUGAAAAGGAGAAAGUGAAUGUCACAAAUUUCUCUCUAUUUCUCCAAAUGCAUACAUUAAAAAGAAAUAAUAUAUUCUUCUUUGUAGUCGAGCAAAAAAAUAUUUUGAUUUAAUCAUAUAAGAUAUCAAUAAUUUGUUGGACAUAUAAUAAAAUUCCUAGAGUGAUGAACUAGGCAACGAGAGAGGUUUCAACUGUUUCAAGGUUUGAGCUCAAAGUAGUCAAAAGACAAUUAGACUCAUUAAAAUGCACAUGCUAGCAAAUGACUUGAAAUUGGGAAAAGACCAUACCAAGGAACAGAAUUGAAUAUAAGUGUGUUAAGGUUGAGUUGCUCAGACAAUUCAUUCCCAUUAAUGGGUAGUGCAGGUGGGUAAUGGUCCUAGGAAUCUGCUGGUGCACAUGUGCCUUUCCUAUGCUGCUAUGCUAGUAUUAAAGAUGUUAUAAUGGUCCUAGGUAUAUGAUAACACACUGUUACCCUGGACAUGCCUUGAUGAACUCGAAAUAAAAAAGUACAUACUACAAAGCUAAUGUCACUAAUUUGCGUUAUAUAUCUUCUAAUCAGCCCUUUGCUUGCCAAUUCCAAAGGUUCAAUUCCUAUUCGACUCAUUAAGCUCUUUAAAGUUGAUAGCUAAAUCAUGAAAGGGACAUACUCUUAUAGCUUAAUUAUCUAGCUCCUUUAUUUGUAGCAGUAGCUUAAUUAUCUAGCUCCUUUACUUGUUUAGCCUUCGAUAUACUCGUAUCACUGACAUUGUAGGAGUAUUAUACCCUAUACUUACUAUUUAGUUUUUACAUCCAUGGGAAAAUAUAAUAGAAUAAUCAUAUAUAAUCUCUUUGUUUUUGAGUUGGAAAGCAUGAGUCAAAGUGGUUCUAGCUUUUAUUACUAGCUGGUUGCUUUCUACUACUGCUUAUUAUAGUUGAUGCUCUUUUUUUUUUUCUUUUUUUUCCAGCAGAAUAUUUAUUUGAUUUUCGGGGCUUUUGUUUUUCCUCUAGCAUUGUUUUCCUGGGAUAUAUAUAUAUAUAUAUGUCCGUUGUAAAUAAUUUAAGAUAAUUUCAUACUUUCUUGUUUAGUGAGGUGACUUGCCAUUCUGCUAAAAAUAUUAUGCAGCCCCUUGACCAACUUUGGAAUUAAAAUCUUUCAAUACCUAAAGAUCAAAACUUGCGCCGUGUAGAACAUAAUCCCAUCAACAAAAGAACCUCUACUCUUUGCCAAAUCAAUCUGUGCCUACAAUAUCAAAAUCCUCUUUGUGUUGUUUAAGUUGGUUAGCAAUUAAAUUCUUGGUGGGGAUCAUGGAUUAUUUGUAUGGUUAAGAACCCAACUCAAAAAUAGGCCAACCCCACCACAAUUCCCACAUUCAUCAACUACUAUCACCAAAAACAUUUAAACAAAGAAAUACAAUAAAAUUAACUUCUAAAUAAUGGAAUACCACCAAAAAUGGAAAACAUAUAAUAGAAAUUCAAGCUUCAACGGAAGAUCAACACAUGAUGACUUUAGUAUAAAAACAGCUAUUUUUUUUCAGGCUUCUAGAAGCCUAGUUGUUCAUCUGAUUGUUCCCCCUCAACAGAUAUAAUAAUAUGAAAUAUGGCAUGCGAAAUAAUAAUAACCAACAAGGAAUAGGUAAUAACAUAAUUGGAAAGCAGGGACAACCUCCAGUAACAAAAACCUAUCAUUUGAGCACUCAAUAAAAUGAAAAGAAAAGCUAGCAGGUAAGAUAAAUCAAACUAAACAUUCCCAAGAGUGCUCUUGCUUCAUCAAAUGGUGGUAAUGUGGAAAUUCCCAAACUGGUCUUUCAAAUCACAGUGGGAUAUACCUAAAUAACUUGAAUCAUUGCGAAACUUAUAUAUAUGUACUCUCUUGUCCUGAACAUUAGCUAAUUUUCAUAUUUUAUCAUAAAAAUCUCUUUAAGACAUUUUAUCAAACAUGUUAUGUGCAUGACUUACAUUCCCAGAUUUCAUAAGCUUUUAAAUAUGGUUCUAACCAAAAGUUUCAUCCUUACUAACCUGUAUAACACUUAAUUCAUAAUAUCCCAACCAAGCACAACAAUUUCAAAACAAUAAUCAUUAUGUAUGCUUUCAAUUUUCUAUGAACUUAACCAAAUUCAUGGCCUACCUCUUUAUUCUGCUGAAAUUUAAGCUCAGUGAUAAUGAUUCAGUCCAUUCUUUACGCCAAUUAUAGCUUCCCACUCACUUGUAAUUCCAGAUUCUUUACACAACCUCUUCUCUUAACCGAACCAAGCAAUUUUUAAAAAUUUAUGGCUUAGCUUUGGUUCGUAUGGAGUAAUUCUUUACACAACCUCUUCUCUUCCCUCGCUAAUUCGUUUUGCUUAGCAACCGUUGAUUCGAUUUAGAGUGACUGUCUACUUAGGGUGUGAUUCGGCUAAGAAGAUUUGGGUUUUGGCAAUUUAGAGUAGCUGGUGAGAGAGAUUAGAGGAUUUAGGUUUUUAGGUGGGGAGACAUGAGAUUGAAAGGGUUAGAGAGCAUAGAGAGGACUAGUAAGGACUUAGCUAGUGAGGAACACGAAACUUAAAAAAUGUUAUUAAAAGUAAAUUUACUAUUGGAAAAAAAUUAAUCUAUUUAUAUAUAUUACAAUUUAUAUUUAAUAUAAUUAUUUUUAAAAAAUUUAUUUUAAUAAAAUAGUGACUAAUUUUAUCUCUCACAAAUAAUAUAUAGCGAGUAAUAUUUUUUUCAUUAAUAAUAUUUUUCUUUGCAAAUUUUCAUCAAAAAUUGGCGCUAAACAUCCUUCUAUCAUCUCAAUUUUGUGAAAGAAAAAAUCUAAAUUGUGAAGGAUGUUUCCUUCAGAAUAACUAUAUUGUCACUAAUUUUUUUUCCUUCAUUGCUCCCUCGUUAGAAAACUCCUCAUGCGAAUGAAUGAAUUCCUUCACAAAUUUUCCUUCACUACAUCCCUGGUUUCUUGUAGUGUGAAUUUGACAGGAGUUUAAUGGGGGAGCCAAACUACUUCUUGGGGCUACAAAUUAAACAAUCUGAGAAAGGAAUGCAUAUCCACCAAAAAAAUUACAUUAAGCAGCUAUUGUUUGUUUAUGAAUACCUCACAUUUUUAGUUUAUAACCCUCUUGUAAUUUAAUACAUGGGUAUUCCAUACUUUUUAUACACAACUUAGUUAUUCAAGGUGAAUUCGUAGCUCAUGUUGUACUUUUGAGUGUAAUGAUAACUUGUAUAGGUAACUUAUAGCUAUCGUAAUAAUUUAUAGUUUCAUUUCCGGGCACUAUUAGAAACCAUCGCGUUUCUUUGGAAUGCCAAAACAGUCCCUUCAAGCAUUUACAGCCCUUUGGCUUAGACGCCCAUCUCUAAUAACUUUUACCUUUUUAAAGCACCACUUUAAUCCUAUUGAAUUGUAAUUACUUUAUAACUCAUGUACUUGUUUCUUUAAAAAUUUAGAAACUAAACUUUUUGGGUACAUUAUCGAACUAAACCACGAAGCCACAACUGGCCCAAACCAACUGCUUCCCACUUUUGCGGUUGUUACUCGCUGCUGCCGCUGAGCAGCAGCUCCUCACCUAUGAUAGAAAGAUACUAGUUAAGCAAUUAGAGAAAUUUAACCUUGUCGACUAAGAGCUCAAAAGGACCCCCCAAGCGCUGCCCAGCAGCGUUCUGCUGCUGCCUGCUACUGCUGCAGCGCAGCAGUUCUCUCCUCGCCAUAGCUACUUUGAACAAUUUUAAUUCCUAGCUCCUAACUCGAAUCACGUCCAUUUUUACAUAUGAUAAACAUGACAUAUAGGACUAUUUAAAAAAAAAUAUUAGACGUUCAUUCUGAAUGUUACAAGCAACCCAAAACAGUGCUCAAAUAUAGCUUGACACACUAACUUUUGAUUUUUUGUUUUAGCUUAAAAUUGCAUUUCGCUCUAAGUUACUUUGCCCAAACCAUUUAAUCAUCUACAUAUAGUGUACAUAUACAUUACCUUAGCCUCGGAUUUGCUUAAUAUUUGGUUUUUAACAAAAACAGUCCAUAUAGGACUUUUAGCGAACAUCUUAUAUGUGCUGUUUUGAAAUGCAAAUUUCAUAAUCAUUCUUUUGUUUUCCAAACCCAUUUUAGCCUCCUUAUAACUCUGCACAACCAACCUAUAUCCCUUAGUUCUAAUUCAAGUCCAUAACAUUCAAUUGUACAGUUAAAACAAUUAUACACUUAGUACAUAAACUAACAAGUUUACUACUUUCCUUAUUUCCUUUCAAAGUUCCUCUUACAGUUGAUUCCCACAUAAUUAUAAUAUACCAAUUUCUAGUGUUAGGUAUACAUAGCAUCUAGUGAUAACUCUGUUUUACACAACCAAUUUUUAACAAUUUCACACAAAUUACUAAUUUUUCAAUGUAAACCAAAGAAAAGGAACUUACUUUUUAUUGUUUGCUUGAAUUGGUUGAUAGCUACUCCAAUUUAGUUGAUCAAGUAUUCCUUUACUACUAUUUCGCCCAAUUCGUCUUUCAACUGAAGCACAAACUUGAAUUACUUAGUGAUUAAUCUAAGUUUGGUGGGGGUCUUAGAAACUCGGUGUAGGAAUAGAAGAGAAUUGGGGCUUUAGCUUGAGAUCAUUUAUAUGCUUAGGAGCUUUUGUAUGCUGACAAGAGUUUUUUUUUAGAAACUUUUAAGGCUUUUAAAAUCAGUAGACUUAUUAGCCUCAUAGCUUUGCCUCGUGUCUUCUUAUUAGCUUAAAUAUUUAACAGCUCAUGCUUGGAUACAUGAAUCAACACAAG